Molecule: long non-coding RNA, 1372 nt
Organism: Lynx canadensis (Canada lynx)
Lineage: Eukaryota; Metazoa; Chordata; Mammalia; Carnivora; Felidae
Exons: 3
Source: RefSeq, a predicted model, not a curated record
GUGAGAUCAUGACCUGAGCCGAAGUUGGAUGCUUAAACGACUGAGCCACCCAGUCGCCCCCCAGAAAGCAUCUCUUAUUGCCUAUCACUCCCCACGUUGGUCCCCAAGUGAUCUCUCUAUGUUCCUGUAGGCUGGCCUUCCCUAACCUACACUGUACCUGUCCUAAAAUGGGCAUUCAGGAAUUGGUUUUGAUGCUUGAUACACAUGGGCAAAGGGAACAUAAUUAUCUUUCACUCUCUACCAAAUUAAUUUGUACCAUGUUGCUGUCUGCAUUUGAUUGAGCGACAGAAACUUACUGGAAAGGUGAAGAGUGCUGCCACAUAAGGCUGCUCUCAUCCUAAAAUGCCAGGGGAGGGUCCUCCUUUCUCCACCCCUGUCCCCAAGGAGCUGAUUCCCCAGUCAGAACAGAGCUGAAGAAUCUAUUAGCAGGUGCUAGGACCACGGGAGACCACGGGAGUCUGUUAGCCCACCCUUGGGAUGUUGGCCUUCCCAUGGGAUGUUGGGGUGGCAUCUAGGUAAGAUUGGCUCUUCCGCAAGGGACUGUUUUGAAGUUUGUCCAUAGAAAAAAACCAAUGUACAAUUCCUUGCAUGUCACAGGCACUUGCAUAACUGGAGUGAAAGGACAAGAGCUGGGGGUGCCCAUAAGAGCUUGCCAGCUGCCGACACAAGCGACAAGGAGAGGUAUGGAGCCUCCUACAGACGGUUGGUGACAGAGUUGAUUCAUCUGGGGAAGGGCCACCAGGUGCCACAAGGAGGCGGAGCGCUGAGUCUCUUCUAUGGCUGGAAGGAAUGCAGAGUGGUACAACCGACAGCAAACAGGUGGAAGGUAUCUUUAAAAGUGAAACAUUCAACUACCAGAUGACUCAGCCAUCCCUCUCCUGGAUAUUUGACCCAGAGAAGUGAAAACUCGAGUCCACACAAAAAACCAGUGCGUGAAUGUUUCGAGCAGCUCUAUCCAUGACUGUCCUGAACUGAAAGAACCCAAGUGUCCUUCAGUGGGUGCACGGAUAAGCAAAUGGUGGUGUAGCCAGACAGUGGAACGAACCACUUAGCACUAAAAGGAAAUAAACCGUGAUGCUCACAGUAACCGGGGCGAAUUUCAGAGACCUUUUGCUGAGUGGAAGAAGAAAGUGUCAAAAGGUUAAAGACUGGAUGCUUCCAUUUAGGUGUCGUUUUUGAAGAGAUAAAUACGAUAGACCUGUGGUUGUCGGUGGUUAGGAGCCAGGGGAAGAAGUGACUAUAACUGUUGUUUAUCUUGAUCGUGGUGGUGGUUACAGGAAUCCAUGAGUGUUAAAAUUCACAGAACUGUUUAGUCCUCCCUGAAAAAGUUCCUUUUUAUUGUAUGAUCGUUUUAAAAAUAAAAAAAAAUGAA